This 450-nucleotide long non-coding RNA is filed under the name Sinocyclocheilus rhinocerous. RNAcentral describes it as "lncRNA (ENSSRHG00000018296.1)". The record is from RNAcentral. Lineage: Eukaryota; Metazoa; Chordata; Actinopteri; Cypriniformes; Cyprinidae.
GCCGUGAUGAUCUCACCCCUUUAUGUCUCUGUAGAGAUGGUAUCGCCCAACUUCACAGCUUGAGUAGCGUGGUUUGGAAAGGUUUUGAGAGUAUAUGGAAACUGUCAGGCACUGGAACCUAAUGAGAAAACAAGAGCUGGAGCCUGGCCAAAAAAAGGAGAGCUUGCUGGUGAUUCAUUGGACCAGACCACACCAGAUUCCCCCACCCCAAUGGGAGAUAAUAAGGCCAUUUAUAUGGGUGUCAGUGGACAGGAAGCAUGACCAUAUCUGGAUUCUGAAGGGCAGACAAUCAAGUCUUCAGAAGAAAAUGUUGUAAGAAACCACACAGACUUUUAUAGUGAUGAAUGCUGUCUGGUGGGAUGCUAUCCCUUUAAACGUCUGCCGACGGGACAGGUAUUUCUAAUUUGCGCACAGUGAUUACCAAAGUCAUUUGAAUGAAUAUCAUUGCGA